GCGACUAUAGCUCAAUGGUAGAGCAUCGGGUUGUGGUCCCGGUGACGAGAGUUCGAUCCUCUCUAGUCGCC
This is a non-coding RNA of Parcubacteria group bacterium CG1_02_41_12, 71 nucleotides long. The record is from Rfam.